AUUAUGAGAGUUUGAUCCUGGCUCAGGACGAACGCUGGCGGCGUGCCUAAUACAUGCAAGUCGAACGCUUCUUUCCUCCCGAGUGCUUGCACUCAAUUGGAAAGAGGAGUGGCGGACGGGUGAGUAACACGUGGGUAACCUACCCAUCAGAGGGGGAUAACACUUGGAAACAGGUGCUAAUACCGCAUAACAGUUUAUGCCGCAUGGCAUAAGAGUGAAAGGCGCUUUCGGGUGUCGCUGAUGGAUGGACCCGCGGUGCAUUAGCUAGUUGGUGAGGUAACGGCUCACCAAGGCCACGAUGCAUAGCCGACCUGAGAGGGUGAUCGGCCACACUGGGACUGAGACACGGCCCAGACUCCUACGGGAGGCAGCAGUAGGGAAUCUUCGGCAAUGGACGAAAGUCUGACCGAGCAACGCCGCGUGAGUGAAGAAGGUUUUCGGAUCGUAAAACUCUGUUGUUAGAGAAGAACAAGGACGUUAGUAACUGAACGUCCCCUGACGGUAUCUAACCAGAAAGCCACGGCUAACUACGUGCCAGCAGCCGCGGUAAUACGUAGGUGGCAAGCGUUGUCCGGAUUUAUUGGGCGUAAAGCGAGCGCAGGCGGUUUCUUAAGUCUGAUGUGAAAGCCCCCGGCUCAACCGGGGAGGGUCAUUGGAAACUGGGAGACUUGAGUGCAGAAGAGGAGAGUGGAAUUCCAUGUGUAGCGGUGAAAUGCGUA
RNAcentral lists this ribosomal RNA (719 nucleotides) under Enterococcus faecalis. Its description in RNAcentral is "bacterial SSU rRNA". It matches the Rfam family "Bacterial small subunit ribosomal RNA", at positions 1 to 692 of the family's 1533-position model. The record is from RNAcentral. Lineage: Bacteria; Bacillati; Bacillota; Bacilli; Lactobacillales; Enterococcaceae.